RNAcentral lists this long non-coding RNA (9016 nucleotides) under Durio zibethinus. RNAcentral describes it as "long non-coding RNA (DZIB_LNC000772)". Lineage: Eukaryota; Viridiplantae; Streptophyta; Magnoliopsida; Malvales; Malvaceae. The record is from RNAcentral.
AUAUUUAAAUAUCUAAAUACAUAAUUUGUUCCAAUAUGCAUGUAACACAAAGUUUAAAACAUACAAUAACAUUCCACUUUACAUUUGUUUUCUUCUUACCCAUCAACGGACUCCAUGGAAGAAGUCACACUUGCUUUGAAUGGAGCCUACAAUGCACAUUCCUCCUAUUGGCUUCCAUUGCUAACAAGAACAUUUCUCCAAGAACCUUAAAUUGAGCUAUUAGAAAUGCAUCAAAGUGUAUUUCAUUUAUCUUCUCCACAACUUCAUGUUCCAUCCUGAUUGAAAAAUGUUACUGGGUAAGCUAUAAAAAAUACCAUAAAAUUUGUAAUGCAAGAUAAAAUUAAGGAAGGUAUACAAGAUCUCAUUGUUACAUACAUGCAAAAAUAACAGAGAAACAGAUUUAACCAAAGCAACAAACUAAGAUAUAUUUUUUUGCCAAUGAUCAAGACAAAUGCACAAGGCAAAAGGAUGUACACUCCCUCUCUGAGUGCAUUUCACGAAAAUGCCUUUCAUAAUCAUAGUUCUCCCAUUCUGUAUAUAUCAUUAUGUAGACUUGAAAUGCAGUGCCAUAUAAUUUGAAGGAAAGAGAAUAUAUUAAAGGUUAAGAGAUAGAUCUUUAAUCAAGUUCAUGUUUGAUUGCAUUGGAAAAAGAUAAAGAUUAUUUGAUUCCAUGAAGUUUAUAAGAUAAACCAUUUCAAAUCAUAUUUUUAACUCAUAAAUAAAUUCAUAGAAAUAAAUGGAUUCAAAUGCUUCAAAAGGAAAAUAAACCAAUCCUUCAAAAUAAAAUGACCAUGCAACAGAGUUUCAAGAAGGAAAUACAAAUUGUGUAAUGGAUAAAUCAACUAUGCUGUACCUUGAACUGAUGGUACAGUUGUGUCUAUAAAGAUCAAUGCUUUUUUAGACUUAGCAGCAACAAAAACUAUAUCAUGGAAUCAUUAGAAAGUAAUUGGAAAAAGUAUAUAAGACUAAUCCAAGUUAAUAGGUCUACAAUAUAUACCUUUCAACUGCUACAAUUCAUCAAUCAAGUUUGCUACAAAAUUUAAUAAGAAAAUGACAGUAAAAUAGAGAAAAACCAGCUUAAUGAACAGUAACUCAAGUGAUACUUAAGGUAGAGAAAAAUAGAGCAUUAACAACUAAAUCUAUCUAAACACCAAAUGAAUUCAUGAAAAUAAAUGCAAUCAAUUAAAAAAUAAUGAGUAAACAUGUAAAACUAAGAAUGUAAAGUAUGAGAGAAUCAAAUCGAACACCUAAAAGAAAAGAGGAUCAUCAUUCAUCAAGUUCUCAUGCAUGGAUCAUUUCUGCCUUCUGGAUUCAGCCUUAAUUUUAAAGAUUUAACUGUACUUUAUAGAUGGAAUUUAAGGUUGAAUUUUUUUCUGGAUUAUAGCCUCAUGAACUAGGAAUCUAGGAAAAAUUUUUUGAAGUAAAUCAAGGUAGAAUUCACUGAGUUUUUAUCAAAAGACUAAAGAUAGGUUAGGUGUACGAUUUUGAAACUAUAUUUGAGUUCAACAUGAAUUUUAUAGAAUUUGAAAAGGAAAUCAUGAGAAUUUGUAAAUUUCAUUAUGAAAAUCUUAAAGAACAUUAAAAAACAAGUGUAGUAAACCUAAAAUUGUAACAAGAUUUAGUUAAAAAAACUAAAAUUAAAAGCUGUUUGGUUGGAGAGGAAAUGAAAAUGAUAGCAGAUCAGGUUCUGACAAGAAAAAUAAAAGGUAAAAUAUCAGUUUGUGCUCUAAGUUGCACUAGGAAAGAUAUAUAUGAAGCAUAAACUUCUUAUAAGACAACUGAUUAGUCAUAAAAUAUGGCUUAAACAAGGUUCAGGAAAGUACGAACAGGCAUCAACAAAUAUCAUACAGAUAUUCAUGUGAAACCAUGGCCUCCCACCACAAAACCCCUAAGCUUCUAACAAAUUAUUAAAAGAAGUUCUUUUUGUUAUAGAAUACAAGAUUCAAGUACAUUCAAUUAUCAUGAAUUUAUACUUUUAUAUAGUUUUCUUGAUUCGAAAGAUUUUCUUUCAAAACAAUUACGUUUCUCACUUUCUCUCACACUCACCCAAACACAUUCAAUACAUUAAAUUGAACAUCAGGCAAAGAUUUCUAUAUUAAACCAGGAGAUAGAGCAGGAAUUAAGGUAAAGCAUUCACAUGUAGAUAUGAGAUAAGUGAGAGCAACCUUGUGCUGGAGUACUCAAAGCACUUUCUAGUGGUUGAAAAGACUAAAAGAGCUAUUUCAGCAUCGCAAAAAGUGAAAAAGUCAUGAGUUUUCUUGAAAAGUCCUCAUCUUCUUUUUGAGAAAGUUACCUACCCCAUUGCUACAUUGUCAAUCUUCUUGAUUUGAAUUUUCUUUCUCAUCAUUCUUUUUCAAGAAAAAAGCUAGGGAAAGAAAAAAUUACAGAGAAGAAAGAGAGGGUUUAAAUUUUGGGAAAAAAUUUUAAGUGCAUCAUUUUUUUCACGAUAGCAGUGUUUACUUAAAAAAAUGUCACUACUUACAAAAAAGAUUAUUGAAGGUGUUUCAGAUAAAAAAUGUCUUUAAUAAUCCUCUUAAAUUUUUUGAAAGGAUUAUUAAAAGCGUUUUCUGCAAAAAAACAUUUUCAAUAAUCCCCUUAAAUUUUGAUAAGAAGAUUAUUGACACCGAUAAACUUUUCAAUGAUCUUUUUUGGGUUUUAUAGUUUUAAGGUAUAUUUUAAAAUUUUUCGUGACUAGUUGAAUUUUUCAACCACCAAGCAUUUUGUAUUGUAGUUGAAAAUUACAACCUGUUGAAGUUUUCGACACCAAAAUCUAUAAGAACUUUAAAUUUUUUGAUGCCAUAUUCUCAUUGCCUUCAAAAAAAAGAGAGAAUUUUAGAAAGAUUGAGUUUGAUAAUAUGGGGAAAAGAGGAAAGAGAUUGAUGAAUUGAAAAAGUUGGCUGCUUUUUGCUAUUAAUGUUAAAUAUUGAUUACAUCAUUUAAGAGAUGCCCAACCUAUAACAACCCGUAUUUCAAUCCGAGUGACUUGAACCAUACGUAACCCAAGGUGUGUAAAAGCCAAUUAAGCUGUUAACCAAGCUGAACAAGCAAUUCAUCAGGUUCUUUUUUCUUUGUUAUUUUUUGUUAUUUAUUUAUUUUUAUGUAAUUUGCAAUUCUAAUUUUUAUACAUAUGUUUUAAUUAUUUGAUAAAAAUAAAAUUUUAAAAUUUUAGUUUCAUAAGAUUAAAUAAUGCUAAAUAUAAAUUUAUCAUAAUUUUAAAACAAGUAAAAAUUCAACCAAUGAUGAAAUUUCAAAAAAUUUAUAGGCAUGCAAUUUUUCUUGAAAAUUUUUACAUAAGAACCUUUUUAAAUUCUACCAAAAUGAUAGAAAAAAUAAACAAUUAUUUCAAUAUCAAGUAUUUUCAUUUAUUUUAAAAAUAUAUACGAAAAAAUUUAAAUUAAUAGAAAAUUAAUUAGUAAAAUAGAAAAGGAUGAAAGAGUUAAAAAUGUAAUAGAUAAUUGUAAAUAUAUUUUUACCACGUAAUACUUGAUAAAUUUUCAAAUAAAUGGGGAAUUUGACUAAUGAUGGAAUACAAAAAAAUUCAUAAACUUGUAACUUUUUAGAAAUUUCAAGGCAAAAAAACUUUUCUAAAUUCCACCAAAUCGUUGGGGUAUUUAAAAAUUAUAUUUUAUUCCUAAAAUAACAUAAUAAAAGAGAAAAAUAUUAAUAUUAAUUUAAAAUUUUUUAAAAAUAAUAAAAUAAUUAUUUUUAAAAAUGUUUGAUAAAUUCAAUGAUGAAGUUUCUUCAAGAAAACAAGAAUGUUUUCUUGAAUACUCUUAUAGUGAAAAUUUUUUUUUAAGGAUUUAACCAAAGUAUUAGAAAAAACCUAGGAAAAUUUUCUAAUAUUUAAAUAAUAAAAUAAUAAGAAAAAAGUAAUGAAAAAUGUUAAUUAUAGAUAUUAUUUUAACUAAGGCUAUUAAAGAUAAUAUAAAACUAAUUUUGCUGAUAUAAUGAUUUCUAAAAAGAUAAUAGAAAAUGCAAUUACUAACAGUGGAAACUUGAAAAAGAUGAUGUAAAAAAAAAGUAGUAUGCCUAAAAAGAAAGAGAUGCUCAAUCAGUGAUUUAUGAACGGUAACAGGAAUGCUCUACACCAUUCUUAUCAAAUGAACCGAUUUUACUAUCUAAUCAUACAUAACAUCUUUCAAAGUCCUUAUCUUUUUCGACCAAACCCAUGAUUAACCUUUCAAGCAAACCCUUGCCUUCAAACAAUUGCACUUACUCUCAUCUCUUAAUGUACCAUCCAACCAAUGAGUAACCAAAGAUGACCAAGAAUCAGUCAAGAAAAAUUUUCAAUACCAUUUCUUGAUUUUUUGCAUUUACUAGUAACACAUCAAUACCUCACCCUAUAUCUUUAAAAAUAACUCUAAAUCAAUCAGAGAGAAGCUAUAAGCCAAAUAAUAAAUGUAAUUAUCACAUGAGAUUAAUUGAACACUCAACAAAAAAAAUACCACCAAUUGAGAGAAAAUAUUUAAGCACAUAUCAAUAGUUGCAACUUGACUCAAGGAACUUAUAGAACAAUGGACAAUUUGCUUUGAUGUAGAUUGAAUUUCCAUUAUGAGAUUUGAAGGUGUGAAUUGUCCAAUUUGUAGGAAAAAGUCCAUAAUUUUGUUUGCAAUUGUUCAAAUAUAAAUUCCUACAUAAGUUAUUUUCCAAAUGAAUUCUAAGCCUAAAGCCUCCAAAUUUUCAUUCAACACACCUCAAGCAAUUUUCUUGUCCUCAAUUCUAAAUCUUCAAAAAUUUUUCUUAAAAUCUAGAGGAAAUCUCACCAUUUCUCCCAUUUUGAAACCCAAAACACCUCCCUUAUCCAUCCAUAACCACCAGAGUAGCCUAAAACCUCGGUCAAAGCUUCUAACUUAUUCCAAAUCUUGGUCUAACUUUUAGUGAAGAUCUUAAAGAACCUAAUCUAUCAUAGUUUAUUGAUCGACAUACCUUACAGUCACUCACCACAUCACCUUGCCUUGUCACCUAAAUCCACAUCACUCACCAUGUCACUUGGCACAUCAUCUAAUCACAUCAUCUCAGCCAUAUCAUUUUUCCAAAUCCAGCCAAAACUUUGUCUAAGCAAAGUCCAGCCAAAACUUUGUCAAAACAAUCCAAUCAAAUCAAAACUCCAGUCAAAAAGUCUUAGUCAAACCAAAAAUCAACAUUAAAAGUUACUCUUUCAUCAAAACUCUCUAAAGAGUCCCAACACCAAAACACUAUUUGAAGAGUCUUUGUUAGACUAAAAUUCUUUUAAAGGGCUCGAUCUAGCUAAAGCUCGAUUUCAUGAUCCAAAAAGAUUUAGUCAAAAUGAAGCACAGCUACAUUUAACCUAGCUCACAAGCCUAAACCUAUGGUUGUCUUAUUAGAUCCUGCAUCAAGAUGAUCUUGUAACGUCCCUAAUCCCAUAUUGAAAAAAUGUGUUGAUAUGAUUUGAUAUAUAAGUUGAGACUUAAACCUUAACUUGUGAAGCGCAUUUUGUGAAAUAAAACCAUGAGCUCUUCAGAUCAAAGUGGACAAUACCUCACAGGUUAGGUGCGGAUCUCUACAAAUGAUAUCAGAGCGAUCACCAGUCGUCGAGAAUUAAGUGCUACAUCAUGAGUCACUAAAUGCUAUACGAUGGGACCAUGGGAAUAUAUGUGCUACAUUAUGGGAGUCACUAAUUAUCACACGAUAGUCUUGUGGUUGAACUCAACUUGACAAGGAUGUCAAGCUUUAAAGGUAGAGAGAUUGUAACAUUCCCAAUCUCAUAUUGGAAAAAUAUGUGGAUAUGACUUGAUAUAUAAGUUGAGACUUAAACCUAAACUUGUGAAGCCCCUUCUGUGGGACAAAAUCUUGAAGACUUCAAGUUAAAACAAACAAUACCUUACAAUUGGGUGCGAGUCUUCGCAAACCUACUCAAGUAUAAUCCCAAAAAUCUUUAGACAUCUUACUCCUCUCAUUAAAUUAUGCACAAGUGACAUAUCCUACAUGAUUAAAUAUCAUGUAGUCAUAGGAAUGUGUAACAUACGCCAUUUAGUUAUAAUUAGGAUUUAUUUUCUUGUUAAAGGUGGUGAAAAUUUUGCAAUGUAAAUUAUUGUGUAGCAAGUAAUAUAAAAUCUUAUCAUAUAGAUUAGGUAUCAAACUGAAAUGUCUUAAAUAUGUUCUCAAGGCAGCUUAGUGAACUAUUAUUAUCUAAGUAUGUCAUUUAUACAAGAUCACAUUACAUGUUUCUUUGAUAACUCUUUGUUGACUUUGUAAUACAAUGGAAUGAACUACUUGAUUUAAUACAAUUGUUUAACAAACACAUUGUUUGCAUCAUCUAAUGAUUGAUAAAGAACUCAAGGUUGUCAACCCAUAGGUAUUUUUCUAGAUGCAUGCGUGACAAUACAGAACUUAUAAAUUGUUUAUACAAAUUACUUAUCAUCAAGAAUAAAAAGGAAAGGCUUACUCUUUAAUCUAUAAGCAAGUCAGGAUGUUGGUUUGAAAUGGAUAAGUAAAGGCUAGGCUUAUCCCUAACAAGGUUUAAAGCAUUUAUUCCUCUUAUAUCCUAUUUACUAUUUUUUAAUUAAGUUUUUUGAUUAAAACAACCGUGACCUUGAAAUCAGUAUUGAUUCUUGAAAUAUAAAUAAAUCGAUUGACAACUCAUAAUCAAAUUUUACUUUUCAACAUUAAGAAGUGUGCUAAAAGUGAAACCCGCAUUGCUCACACCUUUGUUUAAAGAAGCAUUUGAAAAAACAAAAAAUUAAAUAAAAUUUUAAAGUUCUUUAGACAAACCAAAGCUCAAUAUAAUAAUUGUCUAUAUGUCUUAACACAAUUUCUGUUUCAUAAAAAAUGUGCAACGAUAGACAAUUGUAGAUACAAUAAUUGAUCCAAUGAUGAAAUUUCAAAAAAUUCAAAAGUGUGCAAUUUUCUAAAAAAUUUCUAAGUAAGAACUUUUCUAAAUUUCAUUGAAUUGUUGGAGAAUUUAGAAUAUUAUUUCAAUAUUAAUAAUUUUCAUUUAUUUCUAUAAAUAAAAUUGAAAAAAUUAAAAUGAUAGAAAAGUAAUCAACAAACUAAUUUUAAUUUAUUUCUAAAAAUAAAAAUGAAAAAAAUUAAAUUGAUAGAAAAUUAAUUGAUAAAAUAAAAAAUGGAUAAAAGAGUUAAGAAUGUAAUAGAUUGUAAAUGUAUUUUAUCACAUAAUGCUUAAUAAAUUUUGGAAUAAGUGGGGAAUUUGACUAAUUAUGAAAUUUUAAGAAAUUUGUGUGCGUGAAAUUUUCCUAAAAUUUUCUAUGUGAAUAAACAAUUUAAAAAAUUAGAAUAUCAAAGAUUUCCACUUUAUUUCCAAAAUAACAAAAUUAAAAUGUUUUAAAAAUAAAAAAUAAAUUAUUUUUGUAAAAUAUUUAAUUACUCUAAUGAUUAAGCCUCUUGAAAGAAACGAAUGUAUUUUCUUGAAAAUUAUUGAAGUGAAAAAAUUAUUUAAAGGUUCAAUCAACGUGUUAGAGAAAACAUAAGAAAACUUUUUAUAUUUAAAUAAUAAAUAAAGUAAUGAGAAAUAUUAAGAAAAAAGACCAAUUUAAUUAAGGCUAUUAAAGAUAAUAUAAGAUUGAUUGAUAUCAUCCUUUGAAUGGUCAUCGUUAGAAUGUUAAUACCAUCCCUAUAAACUUAAUUCUGUAAUAUAAAUCAAAGCUUAUUCUUUUAAGAUUUCUUAGUUAAACUUAAAAUCAUUUUAAAAGAAUAAAUUUAUUUAAGUAACUAAUUACACCUAAUCAAAAAAUUCUUGAUAAUUACUUUAUUGAUAUUUAAUGGUCAAACUCACAUACUCACACAUUAUAACAAAUAUAAUCAUCAUUGGUUUAAUAAUUAUAAUAAGGCUUACUAAUAGAAAAGAGAAUUUCUCAAUAUAGAUGGGAAAAGUGAUUAUUCUGAUCUUUAAUGAUUUUGAAGCAAGAAAACUUGGAUCUCAUGAAUCACAUUGGGGUCGAUAGUUAUCGUUUCUCCAUUUCAUGGGUAAAAAUUUUGUCCAAUGAGUUUUAUUUCUUCAAAAUAAAUGUGUUUGAUAUGAUUCUCAUGCUAAUUUUUUACGCUCAAAAUUAAUUUAUCCAAAAUGAAGAGAUUUGGAAGUGUUAAUAUGGUUAGCAUCAAUUUUUAUAAUAAGCUCAUAAAUACUCUUCUCCUUAAAGGUCACUCUCUAGUAGUCUAGUUCUCCAACCUUAAAAGGAUAUAAGGGACAAAACUAAUCAUCAAUUCCAUGACUCGAAUACUAAUGUUAGCAAAAUGAUUUUAAUUUCUUCUGUCCCACAAAUCCAACCCUUCGGUCAUUGGCUCAUUGUGAAUUCUAUAUAAAAACAUAUAGCAAACUAAAGUAAAAUUCUUCAAUUCAAAUUGAGAAGAACCAAAAAGAAAGAGAGAAGAAGAACCUGAUGAAGAAGAAAAAUAGCUUUUCGAACAAAAGAAAUUUUGCCGUUAACUCCUAAAUUUCUUGCUACACGAGUUAAGUCCGAAAACUUAGAAGAUUAUAUUCCAAUAGCUCUUCUUCUGGUAGCAAUGAUACCUGAUGUAUACUAAAAAUUUAAACGUAAUAGUCAGAGAUAAGUAUUCAAAGCAUAAAGCAAAAUAUAUGUUCAGCAAUCAUUACAAAAUAAAUCAGUAACAAGAACCUGAUGAGGAGGAAAAAAGCUUCUCACACAAAAAAAAUUCUGUCGUUAACUCCUAAAUCUCCUGCUAUAAUGAACCCUAAAACUCUUUCGAGUUAAAGUUCGAAACUCAAAAGAUUGUAUUGCCAACAGCUCUUCUUUGUUGCAAUAAUACCUGAUAUAAAUUAGAAAUUUUAACGAAAUAGUCAAAGACAGGUACAUAAAAAAUGAAGCAAAAUAAAAGUUUAGUAGGCUUACAAAAUAAAGCAGUAACAAGAACCUGAUGAUAAGGAAACAGGAACUUUUCACAUAAAGGAAAUUCUGCUGUUAACUCCUAAAUCUCUUGCCAUAAUGGACCCUAAAACUUUUCCAAGCUCAUUCCUAAAACUCAGAAGAUCGUAUUGCCAACAGCUCUUCUACUGGUUGUAAUAAUACCUAAUAUAAAC